Molecule: ribosomal RNA, 470 nt
Filed under: uncultured bacterium
Lineage: Bacteria
Description: bacterial SSU rRNA
Rfam family: Bacterial small subunit ribosomal RNA
Source: RNAcentral
GAGUUUGAUCAUGGCUCAGGAUGAACGCUGGCGGAGUGCCUAACACAUGCAAGUCGAGCGGCAGCGCGAGUAGUUUACUACUUGGCGGCGAGCGGCGGACGGCUGAGUAACGCGUGGGAACAUGCCCCAAAGUGAGGAAUAACUGCCCGAAAGGGUAGCUAAUGCCGCAUACGAUCUUCGGAUUAAAGGAUUUAUCCGCUUUGGGAGUGGCCUGCGUACGAUUAGAUAGUUGGUGAGGUAAUGGCUCACCAAGUCUACGAUCGUUAACUGGUUUGAGAGGAUGAUCAGUCAGACUGGAACUGAGACACGGUCCAGACUCCUACGGGAGGCAGCAGUGAGGAAUCUUCCACAAUGGACGAAAGUCUGAUGGAGCAACUCCGCGUGCAGGAUGAAGGCCUUCGGGUCGUAAACUGCUUUUAUGAGUGAAGAAUAUGACGGUAACUCAUGAAUAAGGGUCGGCUAACUACGUG